UACAGAAGUGAGCCAAAAAUUGUCCUUGCCACCAGCAUCAAUCCAAAGAUAGUUGGAGGUUGUAAACUUUACUAUGUGUAGUUUAUUCAUUUUAAUAUAGCUUUGGAGUAAUGCAUUGCAUAGAAUUUGUUUUUGACCGGAUAUAACUUCACAUAAACUUGAUGUAUUCUUUGUAGGCCGGCUAUUUCUGAGUUCAACAUCUGGAACACAUAUUUAAUUUGACAGUGAGACAGCUCUAGGAAAUGAGAAGUUUGACAAACUGAGCUGAUGGCACAGAGCAGAUGGCAGCGUCGUCAAAGGUAGCUCAUGUCCAGAAAAUUGAGCCACUCACCAUCUCUGAGCUUAAUGAAUAUGUGAUCGCUGCCCAGCCUCAGAUAAUUGAGUUUCUCUGCAUUCCAGCUCAAGCUAACCGAGGUUAAUUAACAAGACAUUCUCUCAA
Molecule: long non-coding RNA, 439 nt
Organism: Brassica oleracea var. oleracea
Lineage: Eukaryota; Viridiplantae; Streptophyta; Magnoliopsida; Brassicales; Brassicaceae
Exons: 3
Source: RefSeq, a predicted model, not a curated record